ACAAGCGGUGGAGCAUGUGGUUUAAUUCGAUGCAACGCGAAGAACCUUACCUGGUCUUGACAUCCUGCGAACUUUCUAGAGAUAGAUUGGUGCCUUCGGGAACGCAGUGACAGGUGCUGCAUGGCUGUCGUCAGCUCGUGUUGUGAAAUGUUGGGUUAAGUCCCGUAACGAGCGCAACCCUUAUCCUUAUUUGCCAGCACUUCGGGUGGGAACUCUAAGGAGACUGCCGGUGACAAACCGGAGGAAGGUGGGGACGACGUCAAGUCAUCAUGGCCCUUACGACCAGGGCUACACACGUGCUACAAUGGUAAAUACAAAGGGACGCCAAGCCGCGAGGUGGAGCUAAUCCCAGAAAAUUUAUCGUAGUCCGGAUUGGAGUCUGCAACUCGACUCCAUGAAGUCGGAAUCGCUAGUAAUCGUGGAUCAGAAUGCCACGGUGAAUACGUUCCCGGGCCUUGUACACACCGCCCGUCACACCAUGGGAGUGGAUUGCACCAGAAGUAGUUAGUCUAACCUUCGGGGGGACGAUUACCACGGUGUGGUUCAUGACUGGGGUGAAGUCGUAACAAGGUAGCCCUAGGGGAACCUGGGGCUGGAUCACCUCCUUAAACGAA
This 614-nucleotide ribosomal RNA is filed under the name Oleiphilus sp. HI0050. RNAcentral's name for it is "bacterial SSU rRNA". It matches the Rfam family "Bacterial small subunit ribosomal RNA", at positions 925 to 1533 of the family's 1533-position model. The record is from RNAcentral. Lineage: Bacteria; Pseudomonadati; Pseudomonadota; Gammaproteobacteria; Oceanospirillales; Oleiphilaceae.